UUCCAGACUCCUACGGGAGGCAGCAGUGGGGAAUAUUGCACAAUGGGGGGAACCCUGAUGCAGCGACGCCGCGUGGGUGAAGGAGUAUUUCGGUAUGUAAAGCCCUAUCAGCAGGGAAGAACAAUGACGGUACCUGACUAAGAAGCACCGACUAAAUACGUGCCAGCAGCCGCGGUAAUACGUAUGGUGCAAGCGUUGUCCGGAUUUACUGGGUGUAAAGGGCGUGUAGCCGGGCUGACAAGUCAGAUGUGAAAUCCGGGGGCUCAACCCCCGAACUGCAUUUGAAACUGUUGGUCUUGAGUAUCGGAGAGGCAGGCGGAAUUCCUAGUGUAGCGGUGAAAUGCGUAGAUAUUAGGAGGAACACCAGUGGCGAAGGCGGCCUGCUGGACCGUGACUGACGUUGAGGCUCGAGAGCGUGGGGAGCAAACAGGAUUAGAUACCCCUGUAAG
This 449-nucleotide ribosomal RNA is filed under the name uncultured bacterium. RNAcentral's name for it is "bacterial SSU rRNA". It matches the Rfam family "Bacterial small subunit ribosomal RNA", at positions 329 to 793 of the family's 1533-position model. The record is from RNAcentral.